RNAcentral lists this transfer RNA (66 nucleotides) under Acroneuria carolinensis. RNAcentral describes it as "tRNA-Thr". It matches the Rfam family "tRNA". Rfam says of the family: Transfer RNA (tRNA) molecules are approximately 80 nucleotides in length. Lineage: Eukaryota; Metazoa; Arthropoda; Insecta; Plecoptera; Perlidae. The record is from RNAcentral.
GUUUUAGUAGUUUAAAAAAAACUUUGGUCUUGUAAAUCAAAAUUAAGGACUCAACCUUCUAAAACU